This 68-nucleotide transfer RNA is filed under the name Archon apollinus (false apollo). Its description in RNAcentral is "tRNA-Trp". The record is from RNAcentral. Lineage: Eukaryota; Metazoa; Arthropoda; Insecta; Lepidoptera; Papilionidae.
AAGGUUUUAAGUUAUUUAAUAAACUAAUAAUCUUCAAAAUUAUAAAAAAAGAAAUUCUUUAAGCCUUA